AUUGAACGCUGGCGGCAUGCUUUACACAUGCAAGUCGAACGGUAACAGGUUAAGCUGACGAGUGGCGAACGGGUGAGUAAUGCAUCGGAACGUGCCCAAUCGUGGGGGAUAACACUUCGAAAGAAGUGCUAAUACCGCAUACGAUCUGAGGAUGAAAGCGGGGGACCGUAAGGCCUCGCGCGAUCGGAGCGGCCGAUGUCAGAUUAGGUAGUUGGUGGGGUAAAGGCUCACCAAGCCGACGAUCUGUAGCUGGUCUGAGAGGACGACCAGCCACACUGGGACUGAGACACGGCCCAGACUCCUACGGGAGGCAGCAGUGGGGAAUUUUGGACAAUGGGCGCAGGCCUGAUCCAGCAAUGCCGCGUGCAGGAAGAAGGCCUUCGGGUUGUAAACUGCUUUUGUACGGAGCGAAAAGGCUCCCUCUAAUACAGGGGGCUCAUGACGGUACCGUAAGAAUAAGCACCGGGUAACUACGUGCCAGCCGCCGCAGUAA
This 493-nucleotide ribosomal RNA is filed under the name uncultured bacterium. RNAcentral describes it as "partial 16S ribosomal RNA". It matches the Rfam family "Bacterial small subunit ribosomal RNA", at positions 30 to 523 of the family's 1533-position model. The record is from RNAcentral.